Molecule: long non-coding RNA, 987 nt
Organism: Lagopus leucura (white-tailed ptarmigan)
Lineage: Eukaryota; Metazoa; Chordata; Aves; Galliformes; Phasianidae
Exons: 4
Source: RefSeq, a predicted model, not a curated record
UCCAUCCCCCAGAAGAUGAUGCAGCAACUUCUAGAUAGCAUUAUCGAGCAGCAGGAAGAGAAGGAACUUGUAAGGAGUACUUCAGGUGGAUUUGCUGAGGGGAGAUCACGACAGACCAACAAGGUAGCCUUGUGUGUUGUUGGUACUGUUUUGGUUUUGAGAGAAGGCUGGAGGAUGUCGCCGGGGGAACAUGGCUACUGCUACAAAUAUCUGUAGUGCAGGAGUCUAGCCGAUGGAGAUGGGCUCAUCUGCAGAGCAAUGGGAGCAGCUUUGAAGGACUUGCACUGCAGAAGCUCUAUACAAAGGGAAGGAAGAAUGACUUCACCGUGUGAGCGACAGAAUAGGCUGCAGAGUCUGCUCCUCUGGGGCCGUUCCGGUCGCUUUCCUGGGCGAUGGGCGGCUUCAGCAAGGGAGCGGGACGGUUGUGAUGCCUGUGGCUCUGUAAUGGUGUUUAUUUUGCAGGGUGAGGGCUGCAACAGGUGCCGGUCAGAGGAUGUUGACGGAGGUCUUCCUACAGGUCUGGAGUGAGGCCUGAAAGAGUGGCAGAUCUUGGGGAUCUACUACAGGAGGAAGGGAGUUGGAGGAGCGAGAGGUGAAGCGGAGCACUCCAGAGUUGGGUUCUUCUUUCAGCGCCGGUGCCUCAAGAGCAAGGUUGCGAUACUGGCGUACGUGGAAGUGGCAGAGCUUACAGGUUUGCAUCAAGAAGAACAUCUAUGAGUAGCUCUUCCUAUUUCCAUGUGCUUCCCCCAAAAACUGGUAACAUCUAAGGUUGCUUCCAGGUGCUGGGAAGCAGGCGAUGAUGCAUCUGUUUUCUUAGAAGAUUUCUCAUUAUUUUUGGAAACACUGCUUUUACCAAAGGCAAGAAUGCUCUGUUAGGAAUCUAUAUUACUAACAUGGACUACAAUGGAAUGGCUGAAUGCAGUUACCUUAAGUUUUUGUGGAGGCCUAUUUGUCUUCAAAAUAACAAAACUAAAACUUCUGACUUUA